Terrapene triunguis (Three-toed box turtle) is the source of this 293-nucleotide long non-coding RNA. RefSeq lists it as uncharacterized. The transcript has 3 exons. The record is from RefSeq and is a predicted model, not a curated record. NCBI's taxonomy places the organism in Eukaryota, Metazoa, Chordata, Testudines, Emydidae.
GCUUCUGGGAGACUAGCUAGAAGCCUUCUUGGGGCUGAUUUAAGCCAUGAAGGUGAUUUGGUUACCCUGGGAUGAUGAAUUAAUAAGAGACACGCUGAUGAAACCAGAUCUGCUGAACCGGUGACGAUGCCUGCCAUUACGCUUCCCGUGCUGCUGCCUCACACCUCUCCUGACCAAUCAAAUGCCACAUGAGAAUCAUCAGUCGGACUGAUUGCGACUCUAACUGAUUACUGUGCUGCUCAUUGAUUGUGGUGUCUUUCGAUGUAACAGAGGGCAAAGAGCUCUGUCCCUCU